UACGGAAGGCAGCAGUGGGGAAUAUUGCACAAUGGGCGCAAGCCUGAUGCAGCCAUGCCGCGUGUAUGAAGAAGGCCUUCGGGUUGUAAAGUACUUUCAGUCGUGAGGAAGGUGUUAAGGUUAAUAACCUUAGCAAUUGACGUUAGCGACAGAAGAAGCACCGGCUAACUCCGUGCCAGCAGCCGCGGUAAUACGGAGGGUGCGAGCGUUAAUCGGAAUUACUGGGCGUAAAGGGCACGCAGGCGGUUAAUUAAGUUGGAUGUGAAAUCCCCGGGCUUAACCUGGGAAUGGCAUUCAAGACUGGUUAGCUAGAGUCUUGUAGAGGGGGUAGAAUUCCAUGUGUAGCGGUGAAAUGCGUAGAGAUGUGGAGGAAUACCGGUGGGCGAAGGCGGGCCCCUGGGACAAAGACUGACGCUCAUGUGCGAAAGCGUGGGGAGCAAACAGGGAUUAGAUACC
Molecule: ribosomal RNA, 456 nt
Filed under: uncultured bacterium
Lineage: Bacteria
Description: bacterial SSU rRNA
Rfam family: Bacterial small subunit ribosomal RNA
Source: RNAcentral